Molecule: long non-coding RNA, 778 nt
Filed under: Rattus norvegicus (Norway rat)
Lineage: Eukaryota; Metazoa; Chordata; Mammalia; Rodentia; Muridae
Description: long non-coding RNA NONRATT029802
Source: RNAcentral
GCCACUGGGUUACCGGAAGGCAGACCGACCCUGUUCUUGGCUUUGUUAGCUGGGGCUCUAACCCCCAAUAAACAAGAAAACGAAGGGUCCCAAGUCCUGCCCUCGGCCGGGCCUGAAAGACCAAACCGUCCAGCCCAAGAUCAAAGGAGAAAACACGGGGGAAUGCGGGGAGACAGGGAGGGAAGCCAUCAACCAAGGACCCCGACCGCAUCCCACUAUUUUCGGCCUGAGACAAAUGACAGAAAGCAAACCGCCGCCAACUCAGCCCCUUCAAGCCCCAACCCAGCGAGCCAGCCUUUUGGGUCAGGGGUCGUGGUGGUCGCACGGGUCUCCGCGGCCUCGGCUCCAUCCUCCGGACCCGGCGGUCCGCUCCUGGCUCCGGGGCUCCCCGGCUCCGCGGCUCCUGGCAUAGGCCGAGCUUCCACACCGGGCGCCGCCCGCGCCACGAGGGAAGAUGGCGGCCGCCGAGGAACUGCGCCACCAGCCCUGGCCACAGGCCAGGCCCAGCGCCAUCUUAGCGUCCUCCAGUCCGCCGUCCCCACCCCGAGAAGCCGCUUUCGGGGCGACUCGGGAAGGGGGACCCUGAGAAGCCCUCUGGGUCGAAAAAAAAAAAAAAAAGCAAAAAGAAAACCAAAACAAACAAAAAAAUCACCAAAACACAAAAAGCGCUCCCCGCCACAGUCCUCGGUCUCCCGGCCCGCCGGCUGACACGGGCCUCGCAGGCGGCCUCCCCACGGCCGAGCGGAGCGUGCAGCGGCCUGGGCCGCGUCCUCCGCAG